Molecule: long non-coding RNA, 951 nt
Organism: Lagopus leucura (white-tailed ptarmigan)
Lineage: Eukaryota; Metazoa; Chordata; Aves; Galliformes; Phasianidae
Exons: 3
Source: RefSeq, a predicted model, not a curated record
AGGAGAGGCAAAGUGAAUCCCACUAAAGGGAAGAACAGUCUGAAGAUGGUGUCUUCACUGAAGAGUAGUUACUUUAAAUGUGGAAAUUUAUAUCUUCCAAGAGAGAGGACAGUCUUCGUGAUCUCUGCAGGCUGCUGAACGGUUCUGAGUGCAUCAUACAAGAAACUCCAAAGAAAACAACUCAAUCCUGGAUGAAAUUAGGACAUUUAGGCACUGAGCAGAAGCUCCCUGCAUCUCAGGAGAGGUCCACUGAGGAGUAGGCUGUCCCUCUGCAGUCCAUGGGCACCACAGGAAGCAAAUCUCCAUGUGCAGCCGUGGAGAUCAAGGUGUAGCAGCAGAUGUGUCCUGGAGGAUGACGCAGACUGUGGAGAGCCCCUACAGGAGUGGAUCCUGGGCUGGAGUUGCAACCUGUGGAAAGGAGCCCAAGCUGGAGCAGAUUUCCUAAUGGGAACUAGGGCCCAAUAGAGUAUCAACAUAGGAGCAAACUGUUCCUGAAAGACUGCACAUUGUGUUGGAAUUGAAGCCCAAUAUGGGAAGGAUGCUUAUUAUAUCAGGUCAGUACUGACAUAGGUACCUCCAUGCUGGGGCUCCGGAUGAGCAUAAAGAGGAACAGGAGGCAGCAAAGCUGUUAUGAACUGGCCACAGUUCUGGUUCCCCAUCUCUUUUUACAACUCAGGGCAAGUGGAGGUAGAAGAAUCAAGACUGAAGAUGAGUUAUUUUACCAAUUAGUUUGCUCAUUAUGGUAAAUAUGACCCCUUAUCUUUAUCUGAACCCACAUUUCAGUUCAGUUUUUUUCGUUAUGUUUCCUUCCCCUUCUUUGUGGUCUUGUGAGUGAAAGAGCAGUGUAGUGGGCAUGUGAUGACAAGCUAAGUUGAAACCACCCUGGUCAUAAAAUGAGCAGGAUGUUGUGUCAGAAGAUUUCUUUCAUGAGUUUGUCUACAAUGUGCAGUA